AAGGGGCUAGUUAAAUUAUAAUAUCAGGGUGUCAAUCUGGAGUUGCCCAAGGGUGUCUCUUUA
RNAcentral lists this transfer RNA (63 nucleotides) under Baetis sp. PC-2010. RNAcentral describes it as "tRNA-Asp". The record is from RNAcentral. Lineage: Eukaryota; Metazoa; Arthropoda; Insecta; Ephemeroptera; Baetidae.